This is a long non-coding RNA of Solanum dulcamara, 757 nucleotides long. RefSeq lists it as uncharacterized. Lineage: Eukaryota; Viridiplantae; Streptophyta; Magnoliopsida; Solanales; Solanaceae. The record is from RefSeq and is a predicted model, not a curated record. The transcript has 3 exons.
UCAAGUUCAAUCGAGUCCAUCUCUCCUAGGAACGACUAAAUUACGAGAGGUUUGUGGUGUUGGAAAGAAGUCACAUAAAUCUGUAUCAUCUCCGAAAACCACAAUCAGAUUGAAUCAUAUAGGCUCAGAUUUUUUAUACAGUUAUAUAGCUUUAAUUCCACAAUAUGAUGCAAUUUCAUGACCAUAAUACGCCGCAUCCACAUCUAAAGAUAGUGAGCGACCAACGAAAUUUGAAUGCCAAAAUUUUAGUUUUGGAGGUUUAACCUCUGGCAACCGGCAUCUUCUUGCUUGAUAGUGGAUCGUCGGAUGAAUCUCUUCAACUUAAAGAAUGGUCCCAGAUGGAUAUCAAAGACAUCAUGAAAAACUUCUCGAGUGAGGCUAUUAGCAUGGAUGCUCCUCUACUGAAAUCCGUAAUUCAUAUAGAAGUCGCAUCCGCCGAAGAGGUGUUUCGAUAAUUGGAGUGUUUUGCCUUCUAGCUUUGGAAUCGUCGGUUACACAUCUGGAUACUGGAAAUGGGUAGAGGACGUGUUGUCCCGUUACAAGGAGACUUUGGAGUGCAUUAAGAUUUAUGAUGCCAUACAUACUUCUUUAUUCUCAUAUGACUAUGAUGACAAUGUACUUCGUGCUUUUUGUGAAAUUUGGCGUCCAUAUACAAAUACGCUUUCUAUUUUCAUUGGAGAAAUGUCCAUAUCAAUUUGGGAUCUAAGGGUGAUUGGAGGUCUUCCUGUCCAGAAAUCCUUUUAUGACGAAGUCAUUC